UCCGUUUUUGUCCAUGCAUGCAUACUUCUGCGAAUAGUCUUUGACUAGGUUUGUAGGUCCAAUCUCGAUUUUUGUAGUCACCAGAGUUAGUCUAAUGGUAACUGAUCCAGUUUUGGCGUGCUCAUGGUACGAAUGAGAAACUGUAAAACCACAGGGUCUCUCCUGUUCUAGUGUUAGACGCUAACACAAAAGAUCCGGGCAAGAUCGCCUCUACAAUGAUUGAUCUCAACUCGAGGCCAAACCGGAUUCAUGGGCAGCCUUCAAAUACACAAGGGAUGAAUGCUUUAAGCGUUAGCAACCAUGAGUGUGCAAGCGUAGUUCCAGUGGGAUCUUGCAAUCAAGAUCUAGAGAAGCAAGCAAGGUAGAUUCUAUUCUUCUCGUUUAUGCUAGUUCAUUGGUCUUUUUGUUUAACCAUUUCUUGGUUAAAGGAAAAAAAAAAGAUAAGGAGCCUGACUCCUUCGGCCUUCUGAGUUUUGGAUGUCGUAAAAAAGAAAAAGAUGAGAGUUGUUUAGACUAAUCAUUGGUUAACAUCUAUAAACCAAUGCCAUGGUGCAUGGGGUGUUUAUUUAUUUAUUUAAAGCAGGAGUGCAUGGGACUGAAAUGUACAAUGCAUCUCUUGAAUUUUUGGGGGAAUGCAUGGGAACUGUUAUACAUGUUUUGUUGGGUUCUUUUGAAAUGCUUCAUUUUGUAUGGUAAAACUUUCUUUAAAAUGAUGCUGAGUUAAGAAAAAAGGAAAGAAAAAGGAUUGCGAGUUAUGAUUUCUUGAGAUA
Long non-coding RNA from Magnolia sinica, 770 nucleotides. RefSeq lists it as uncharacterized. The record is from RefSeq and is a predicted model, not a curated record. The transcript is spliced from 2 exons. Lineage: Eukaryota; Viridiplantae; Streptophyta; Magnoliopsida; Magnoliales; Magnoliaceae.